UCGCGGCUUAUCACCGGCAGUCCCCUUAGAGUGCCCAACUAGAUGAUGGCAACUAAGGGCGAGGGUUGCGCUCGUUGCGGGACUUAACCCAACAUCUCACGACACGAGCUGACGACAGCCAUGCAGCACCUGUGUUCCCGCCAGCCGAACUGAAGGAUUCCAUCUCUGGAAUCCAAACGGGACAUGUCAAGGGCUGGUAAGGUUCUGCGCGUUGCUUCGAAUUAAACCACAUGCUCCGCUGCUUGUGCGGGCCCCCGUCAAUUUCUUUGAGUUUUAAUCUUGCGACCGUACUCCCCAGGCGGCACGCUUAUCGCGUUAGCUUCGCCACAAGAGGGGUCGAUUCCUCUUACAGCAAGCGUGCACCGUUUAGGGCUAGGACUAC
RNAcentral lists this unclassified non-coding RNA (382 nucleotides) under uncultured Alphaproteobacteria bacterium. RNAcentral's name for it is "contains 16S-23S intergenic spacer region". Lineage: Bacteria; Pseudomonadati; Pseudomonadota; Alphaproteobacteria. The record is from RNAcentral.